RNAcentral lists this ribosomal RNA (449 nucleotides) under uncultured bacterium. Its description in RNAcentral is "partial 16S ribosomal RNA". It matches the Rfam family "Bacterial small subunit ribosomal RNA", at positions 354 to 796 of the family's 1533-position model. The record is from RNAcentral.
GUCGAGAAUCUUUCACAAUGGGGGCAACCCUGAUGGAGCGACGCCGCGUGGAGGAUAAGGUCUUCGGAUUGUAAACUCCUGUCAUGCGUGAACAAGGUUGCUUGGUUAAUACCUGGGCAAAUUGAUGGUAACGCAAGAGGAAGAGACGGCUAACUCUGUGCCAGCAGCCGCGGUAAUACAGAGGUCUCAAGCGUUGUUCGGAAUCACUGGGCGUAAAGGGUGCGUAGGUGGCGUGGUAAGUCAGAUGUGAAAGCCCGGGGCUCAACCUCGGAACUGCAUCCGCUACUGCCAUGCUAGAGUACUGUAGAGUUGACUAGAAUUCUCGGUGUAGCAGUGAAAUGCGUAGAUAUCGAGAGGAAUACCAAAGGCGUAGGCAUGUCACUGGACAGUUACUGACACUGAGGCACGAAGGCCAGGGGAGCGAACGGGAUUAGAAACCCGAGUAGUCC